UACGGAGGAUCCAAGCGUUAUCCGGAAUCAUUGGGUUUAAAGGGUCCGUAGGCGGGUGCGUAAGUCAGUGGUGAAAGUCUGCAGCUUAACUGUAGAACUGCCAUUGAUACUGCACACCUUGAGUAAUUAUGAAGUGGUUAGAAUAUGUAGUGUAGCGGUGAAAUGCAUAGAUAUUACAUAGAAUACCGAUUGCGAAGGCAGAUCACUAAUAAUUUACUGACGCUGAUGGACGAAAGCGUAGGUAGCGAACAGG
RNAcentral lists this unclassified non-coding RNA (253 nucleotides) under uncultured Flavobacteriaceae bacterium. RNAcentral's name for it is "contains 16S-23S intergenic spacer region". It matches the Rfam family "Bacterial small subunit ribosomal RNA", at positions 524 to 776 of the family's 1533-position model. The record is from RNAcentral. Lineage: Bacteria; Pseudomonadati; Bacteroidota; Flavobacteriia; Flavobacteriales; Flavobacteriaceae.